This 196-nucleotide small nucleolar RNA is filed under the name Aegilops tauschii subsp. strangulata. RNAcentral describes it as "snoRNA Plant_U3". It matches the Rfam family "Plant small nucleolar RNA U3". From Rfam's summary of the family: Small nucleolar RNAs (snoRNAs) are involved in the processing and modification of rRNA in the nucleolus. There are two main classes of snoRNAs: the box C/D class, and the box H/ACA class. U3 snoRNA is a member of the box C/D class. Lineage: Eukaryota; Viridiplantae; Streptophyta; Magnoliopsida; Poales; Poaceae. The record is from Rfam by way of RNAcentral.
ACGACCUUACUUGAACAGGAUCUGUUCUAUAGGCUUGUACCGCUGCAUCCUUUACCAAUAAGGAGGUAAGCACUUCAGUCUGGUUGAUGCAUUCUGACCACUGGGGCAGAGCCUGAUUAACGGCCAGGAUUCUCCUGAUGGCUGUAGAGGAUCGUUCCUGGAUUGGCUUCUGUCUCUACAGGUUGGCUGACAGACA